UACGUAGGGUGCGAGCGUUGUCCGGAAUUAUUGGGCGUAAAGAGCUUGUAGGCGGUUUGUCGCGUCUGCUGUGAAAAUCCGGGGCUCAACCCCGGACUUGCAGUGGGUACGGGCAGACUAGAGUGUGGUAGGGGAGGCUGGAAUUCCUGGUGUAGCGGUGGAGUGCGCAGAUAUCAGGAGGAACACCGAUGGCGAAGGCAGGUCUCUGGGCCGCUACUGACGCUGAGAAGCGAAAGCAUGGGGAGCGAACAGG
This 253-nucleotide ribosomal RNA is filed under the name uncultured bacterium. Its description in RNAcentral is "partial 16S ribosomal RNA". It matches the Rfam family "Bacterial small subunit ribosomal RNA", at positions 524 to 776 of the family's 1533-position model. The record is from RNAcentral.